AACGAACGCUGGCGGCAGGCCUAACACAUGCAAGUCGAGCGCCCCAGCGAUGGGGAGCGGCGGACGGGUGAGUAACGCGUGGGAACGUACCCUUUGCUACGGAAUAGCCUCGGGAAACUGGGAGUAAUACCGUAUGUGCCCUUCGGGGAAGAUUUAUCGGCAAAGGAUCGGCCCGCGUUGGAUUAGGUAGUUGGUGGGGUAAUGGCCUACCAAGCCGACGAUCCAUAGCUGGUUUGAGAGGAUGAUCAGCCACACUGGGACUGAGACACGGCCCAGACUCCUACGGGAGGCAGCAGUGGGGAAUCUUAGACAAUGGGCGCAAGCCUGAUCUAGCCAUGCCGCGUGAGCGAUGAAGGCCUUAGGGUUGUAAAGCUCUUUCAGGGGGGAAGAUAAUGACUGUACCCCCACGAAGAAGCCCCGGCUAACUCCGUG
RNAcentral lists this ribosomal RNA (432 nucleotides) under uncultured bacterium. RNAcentral describes it as "bacterial SSU rRNA". It matches the Rfam family "Bacterial small subunit ribosomal RNA", at positions 29 to 507 of the family's 1533-position model. The record is from RNAcentral.